CAGCAGUAGCCGCGGUAAUACGGAGGGUGCAAGCGUUAUCCGGAUUUAUUGGGUUUAAAGGGUCCGUAGGCGGACUUAUAAGUCAGUGGUGAAAGCCUGUCGCUUAACGAUAGAACUGCCAUUGAUACUGUAAGUCUUGAGUAUAUUUGAGGUAGCUGGAAUAAGUAGUGUAGCGGUGAAAUGCAUAGAUAUUACUUAGAACACCAAUUGCGAAGGCAGGUUACCAAGAUAUAACUGACGCUGAGGGACGAAAGCGUGGGUAGCGAACAGGAUUAGAUACCCCUGUAGUCCCUGUCUCUUAUAC
This 304-nucleotide ribosomal RNA is filed under the name uncultured bacterium. RNAcentral's name for it is "partial 16S ribosomal RNA". It matches the Rfam family "Bacterial small subunit ribosomal RNA", at positions 506 to 807 of the family's 1533-position model. The record is from RNAcentral.